This 253-nucleotide unclassified non-coding RNA is filed under the name Alphaproteobacteria bacterium. Its description in RNAcentral is "contains 16S-23S intergenic spacer region". It matches the Rfam family "Bacterial small subunit ribosomal RNA", at positions 524 to 776 of the family's 1533-position model. Lineage: Bacteria; Pseudomonadati; Pseudomonadota; Alphaproteobacteria. The record is from RNAcentral.
UACGAAUGGGGCGAGCGUUGUUCGGAAUCACUGGGCGUAAAGCGUGCGUAGGCGGAUAUGAAAGUCAGAAGUGAAAGCCCAGGGCUCAACCCUGGAAUUGCUUUUGAAACUUCAUAUCUAGAGUCCCGGAGGGGCCAGCGGAAUUCCGAGUGUAGAGGUGAAAUUCGCAGAUAUUCGGAAGAACACCAGUGGCGUAGGCGGCUGGCUGGACGGGAACUGACGCUGAGGCACGAAAGCAUGGGGAGCAAACAGG